Molecule: ribosomal RNA, 442 nt
Filed under: uncultured bacterium
Lineage: Bacteria
Description: bacterial SSU rRNA
Rfam family: Bacterial small subunit ribosomal RNA
Source: RNAcentral
GCUACGGGGCGCAGCAGUGGGGAAUAUUGGACAAUGGGCGCAAGCCUGAUCCAGCCAUGCCGCGUGGGUGAAGAAGGCCUUAGGGUUGUAAACCCCUUUCAGCGGGGAAGAUAAUGACGGUACCCGCAGAAGAAGUCCCGGCUAACUCCGUGCCAGCAGCCGCGGUAAUACGGAGGGGACUAGCGUUGUUCGGAAUUACUGGGCGUAAAGCGCACGUAGGCGGAUUUGUAAGUCAGGGGUGAAAUCCCGGGGCUCAACCUCGGAACUGCCUUUGAUACUGCAAAUCUCGAGUCCGGAAGAGGUGAGUGGAAUUCCUAGUGUAGAGGUGAAAUUCGUAGAUAUUAGGAAGAACACCAGUGGCGAAGGCGGCUCACUGGUCCGGUACUGACGCUGAGGUGCGAAAGCGUGGGGAGCAAACAGGAUUAGAAACCCUAGUAGUCCC